CUGUGGGUAGGGGUGAAAGGCCAAUCAAACUCCGUGAUAGCUGGUUCUCCCCGAAAUGCAUUUAGGUGCAGCGUUGCGUGGUCCCUGGUGGAGGUAGAGCUACUGGAUGGCCGAUGGGCCCUGUGGGUUACUGACGUCAGCCAAACUCCGAAUGCCAUUAGGUGUAGCGUGGCAGUGAGACUGCGGGGGAUAAGCUUCGUAGUCGAGAGGGAAACAGCCCAGAUCAUCAGCUAAGGCCCCUAAGCGUGCGCUAAGUGGGAAAGGAUGUGGAGUCGCGGUGACAACCAGGAGGUUGGCUUAGAAGCAGCCAUCCUUGAAAGAGUGCGUAAUAGCUCACUGGUCAAGUGGUUCUGCGCCGACAAUGUAGCGGGGCUCAAGCGUACCGCCGAAGCUGUGGCAGCAACACGCGUGCUGGCGCCAGGAACUGGUUGUUGGUGUGUUGUUGGGUAGGGGAGCGUCCUGCAUGAGGUGAAGCCUGGAGGUGACUUCUGGUGGAUUGUGUGGGAGUGAGAAUGCAGGCAUGAGUAACGAAUCUGCGGUGAGAAUCCGCAGCGCCGAUUGACUAAGGGUUCCAGGGCUAGGUUUAUCCGCCCUGGGUUAGUCGGGUCCUAAGGCGAGGCCGACAGGCGUAGUCGAUGGACAACCAGUUGAUAUUCUGGUACCGCGUUGUGACCGUCCAUGCUGAAGUCAUUGUGCUAACCAAUUUGCCUGCGCGCCCUCGUGGCCUUCGGGUUGUGAGUGUGUGUGUGGGUCUUGGGGUCCCGGUGAUUGUAGGCAAGCGUGUUAACAGGGGUGACGCAGACAGGUAGCUGCAGUGCGCCGAUGGUUGUGCGUAUUUAAGGUUGUGGCCCGCCUCCCAGGUAAAUCCGGGGGGCACCAAGGGUGAGAACUGAUGAGGGUGACACGGUUGUGUCGUCUUGUGGUGAUCCUAUGCUGCCGAGAAAAGCCUCGACGUGAGGGCAUGACGCGCCCGUACCCUAAACCGACUCAGGUGGUCAGGUAGAGUAUACCGAGGCGUUCGAGUGAAUCGUGGUUAAGGAACUCGGCAAAAUUCCUCCGUAACUUCGGGAUAAGGAGGACCCCGUGACUUCCCCGCGCCAAGCGCGCUGGUGGGGUUGUGGGGUCGCAGAGAAUAGGGAGAAGCGACUGUUUAUCAAAAACACAGGUGCGUGCGAAGCCGUAAGGCGAUGUAUACGCACUGACGCCUGCCCGGUGCUGGAAGGUUAAGAGGAACCGUCAGCUGACUUUUUGUUGGUGAAGCGGUGAAUUUAAGCCCCAGUAAACGGCGGUGGUAACUAUAACCAUCCUAAGGUAGCGAAAUUCCUUGUCGGGUAAGUUCCGACCUGCACGAAUGGCGUAACGACUUCUCCGCUGUCUCAACCGCGAACUCGGUGAAAUUGCAGUACGAGUAAAGAUGCUCGUUUCGCGCAGAAGGACGGAAAGACCCCGGGACCUUUACUAUAGCUUGGUAUUGGUGUUCGCUUGGACUUGUGUAGGAUAGGUGGGAGACUGUGAAGCUGCCGCGCCAGCGGUGGUGGAGUCGUCGUUGAAAUACCAUUCUGGUUCAAGCGGUCACCUCAACCUUGGCCCGUGAUCCGGGUUGGGGACAGUGCCUGGUGGGUAGUUUAACUGGGGCGGUUGCCUCCUAAAAUGUAACGGAGGCGCUCAAAGGUUCCCUCAGCCUGGUUGGUAAUCAGGUGGCGAGUGCAAGUGUACAAGGGAGCUUGACUGUGAGACCGACGGGUCGAGCAGGUGCGAAAGCAGGAACUAGUGAUCCGGCCAUGGCACGUGGGUGCGUGGUCGCUCAACGGAUAAAAGGUACCCCGGGGAUAACAGGCUGAUCUUGCCCAAGAGUCCAUAUCGACGGCAUGGUUUGGCACCUCGAUGUCGGCUCGUCGCAUCCUGGGGCUGGAG
RNAcentral lists this ribosomal RNA (1914 nucleotides) under human metagenome. RNAcentral describes it as "bacterial LSU rRNA". It matches the Rfam family "Bacterial large subunit ribosomal RNA", at positions 809 to 2558 of the family's 2925-position model. The record is from RNAcentral.